RNAcentral lists this long non-coding RNA (701 nucleotides) under Homo sapiens (human). RNAcentral's name for it is "non-protein coding lnc-TP53BP1-4:1". Lineage: Eukaryota; Metazoa; Chordata; Mammalia; Primates; Hominidae. The record is from RNAcentral.
CGAGAGGGAGACGCUCCCAGGGGUGGGCUGGAGGGCGCCCUCAGGGCGCCUUAGCCGGGUCAGAGGCCUCUGGAGGGACCGCACGACGGCUCCGGGUUACCCGGCCGGAGGGAGCGGAGACAAAAGAGGCCAGAAUCCCGCAGCCGCUGCUCCUUGGGCUGAGAGCUCUGCGUCCGCGAACCGGCAGCACCUGGAGCCUCUGGCCGACACCCGAGCCCGUCCUCAGGAAGCCCGUUACUACUGCUCCUCGGAUUCCGUCUCUCCUGCCCAAUGUGACUCUCCCCAAGCCCCCAUGGUCCUCGCUUUGGAGCCAAAACCAGCUUCUCUCCUUGCGCGAGGUUUUCCGACAGCAGGAUGGUGACUUGUCUUUAGAUCCUCUCGAACUCCAGCUCUCCUAUAUGGUUCGGACUCACUGUGCAACAUUGGCCAGGGAAGUUAAAUGGGAUCGGAUUUGGAGGAGGUGGGAGAGGGGCAGACAGUACUUUUAUUCUCUGCUGCUUCCUGGGGCUGCCCUGGAAGUCAACCAGAAAAGCAGUUUUUGCAAAGUCUAUUUACUGAAGAUUGUGCUACCUUAGAAGGCCACUCGGAGCACAUGGAAAGGCAGGCCAGCUCUGGCAAGACUUUAGACAUAUGAAUGUAUUCCUUCUGAUAGUGCCAUCUUUCUCUGCCCUAGGAAGAAACACCUCUUACAGUCAUCUGCA